RNAcentral lists this ribosomal RNA (590 nucleotides) under Monoraphidium sp. KMN5. RNAcentral describes it as "bacterial LSU rRNA". It matches the Rfam family "Bacterial large subunit ribosomal RNA", at positions 1905 to 2486 of the family's 2925-position model. The record is from RNAcentral. Lineage: Eukaryota; Viridiplantae; Chlorophyta; Chlorophyceae; Sphaeropleales; Selenastraceae.
UGGUUUUGAAAAGACCCUAUGAACGGCGGCUGUAACUAUGACAGUCCUAAGGUAGCGAAAUUCAUUGUCGAGUAAGUUUCGACCUGCACGAAAGGCGUAACGAUCUGGGCGCUGUCUCAGAGAGAGACUCGGUGAAAUAGACUUGUCCGUGAAGAUGCGGACUACUAACAUCAUUGUGACAGGAAAGACCCUAUGAAGCUUGACUGUGAUUCUGGAAUGGAAUUCGGGCUUUUCUUGCGCAGUCUAGGUGGGAGGCGUUGAAGAUUUCCUUCCGGGGAAAUUGGAGCCAUCAGUGAGAGACCACUCUGGGAAGGCUAGAAUUCUAAUGGCGAUCCUUGAAUCAGGACGCUUGACAGUUUCAGAUGGGCAGUUUUUCUGGGGCGGAAACCUCCUAAAAGGUAACGGAGGUGCGCAAUGGUUCCCUCAGUCUGGACGGAAAUCAGACAUUGAGUGUAAAGGCAAAAGGGAGCUUGACUGUGAGACCUACAAGUCAAACAGGGGCGAAAGCCGGCCUUAGUGAUCCGACGGUGCUGUGUGGAAAGGCCGUCGUUUCAAACCCGUAAAAGUUACUCUAGGGAUAACAGGCUGAA